CGCCGGCGGGCUUCCUUAUUCCUGCAAGUUGAACCGGCCGGCGGGAAGCUGCUUCCUUUGGUUAACGGCCGGCGGGUGGGUUACCAGUGGGUUACCCGCCCGUUAGGAUGGGAUUAAUUCGGGAAACCGGGGGUUAUUCCGGAUGGUUGGAUGAACCGCCAGGUUUCAAUCAUAAAAGGUGGCUUUCAGCUACCACUUACAGAUGGACCCGCGGCGCAUUAGCUAGUUGGUGAGGUAACGGCUCACCAAGGCGACGAUGCGUAGCCGACCUGAGAGGGUGAUCGGCCACACUGGGACUGAGACACGGCCCAGACUCCUACGGGAGGCAGCAGUAGGGAAUCUUCCGCAAUGGACGAAAGUCUGACGGAGCAACGCCGCGUGAGUGAUGAAGGUUUUCGGAUCGUAAAACUCUGUUGUUAGGGAAGAACAAGUACCGUUCGAAUAGGGCGGUACCUUGACGGUACCUAACCAGAAAGCCACGGCUAACUACGUGCCAGCAGCCGCGGUAAUACGUAGGUGGCAAGCGUUGUCCGGAAUUAUUGGGCGUAAAGCGCGCGCAGGCGGUUUCUUAAGUCUGAUGUGAAAGCCCCCGGCUCAACCGGGGAGGGUCAUUGGAAACUGGGGAACUUGAGUGCAGAAGAGGAGAGUGGAAUUCCACGUGUAGCGGUGAAAUGCGUAGAGAUGUGGAGGAACACCAGUGGCGAAGGCGACUCUCUGGUCUGUAACUGACGCUGAGGCGCGAAAGCGUGGGGAGCGAACAGGAUUAGAUACCCUGGUAGUCCACGCCGUAAACGAUGAGUGCUAAGUGUUAGAGGGUUUCCGCCCUUUAGUGCUGCAGCAAACGCAUUAAGCACUC
This 856-nucleotide ribosomal RNA is filed under the name Bacillus licheniformis. RNAcentral's name for it is "bacterial SSU rRNA". It matches the Rfam family "Bacterial small subunit ribosomal RNA", at positions 34 to 869 of the family's 1533-position model. Lineage: Bacteria; Bacillati; Bacillota; Bacilli; Caryophanales; Bacillaceae. The record is from RNAcentral.